This 407-nucleotide ribosomal RNA is filed under the name uncultured bacterium. Its description in RNAcentral is "bacterial SSU rRNA". It matches the Rfam family "Bacterial small subunit ribosomal RNA", at positions 28 to 432 of the family's 1533-position model. The record is from RNAcentral.
GAUGAACGCUGGCGGCGCGCCUAACACAUGCAAGUCGAACGAGCGAGAGAGAGCUUGCUUUCUCGAGCGAGUGGCGAACGGGUGAGUAACGCGUGGGUAACCUGCCUCACACAGGGGGAUAACAGUUGGAAACGGCUGCUAAUACCGCAUAAGCGCACAGUAUCGCAUGGUACGGUGUGAAAAACUCCGGUGGUGUGAGAUGGACCCGCGUCUGAUUAGCUAGUUGGCAGGGCAACGGCCCACCAAGGCGACGAUCAGUAGCCGACCUGAGAGGGUGACCGGCCACAUUGGGACUGAGACACGGCCCAGACUCCUACGGGAGCAGCAGUGGGGAAUAUUGCACAAUGGAGGAAACUCUGAUGCAGCGACGCCGCGUGACGUGAAGAAGUAGUUCGCUAUGUAAAGCU